UAAACAAAAAAAAAGAAAGAAAAAGAAGUGGGUCUCUUUCAACUUCAGCGGCUUUCGUUUGUACUUCCUCCGGCAGCACGUAGUGUCUCCAGCGCUCUUUACAAGUCGCAACCAUCUUCUCCUCUUCAAACUUCAAUUCCAAGAUGGUCUAUUGCUCCAACCUCCACCAACGUUGUGCUCUAUUACUCGUAGGUGAGUUCCUCCCACUCCGCCAAGUCCCAUCAUCACCGUGACCUUAGUCCCUCGCCACCGACUCCUCCAAGCUUCGAUUUCAGUCAACCAUGGAUGAUGAUGGAUUGAGUAGAUUUCAAUCAACCAUGGAUGAUUUAUCCAUCGAAUCUACUUGAACUUUUCAAUUAUGCAGAAGAUGUAUGGGCUUUGUUUAGUUUUUCGGCCUAAAGUUAUGUUGAAGAGACCCAAACCAUAAGAGAGUCUACGUGAUCAUCGUAACCUGCGCUUCUCCUUCUCCGCCAUUACCAGAGAUUGCCAUCGAGAAGAAUCUCCUCCUAGGGUUUUCACGACAUCGUUUGCUCUUCUCUUAAUCAACUGAAACACCCACAGUUACAGAUCCAUCGCGUUAAACGCCUCUUUAAUCCAUCAACCACGAUGGAUCUUUAUUGCAAGUCUCUUUUCUCCAGGGCGAUCUAUUUGUUAGUAUACAUAGGUAUGCCUUACUCCUCCAGAAUCCCUUAAUUUUCUUCUUCCCUUUUUGAUUUCAUCAACGUAUAUUCAAUUUCUAUUUUUCUAUCUAAUUGUAUGUGCAAACAAAUAUUCCCAAUUGUAAAGAGAACCCCCAAUUUGAAAAAGGUUUUCAGGCGAUGAAUGAUCUCCGGCCAUAACAAAGGUUUGUAGGUUUUCAUGUGUUUCUGAAGAAUAUUGUUUUAUUUGACAUGUGUGGUCGAUCUUUGUUACAAUGUGUUUGCUCCUGGACACCAUCAAAUAAAUUUUGUAUGUACUGAUGUUUCCCACUAACUAAAAUCAUUUUUUCUUAUUUCUUUUGGAAUUGUAAACUAACGACAGUUGCUGGUAUGCUUUUUGCAUUAAAGAUCGUUUCUCCAUAAAAUCUUAGACUAUGAAGACGAGUUCUUUGCUGCUCUGAUGCUUAUCCUUGAAGGACAUAGCUUAAGAACCACAAGUUAGAUUUUGGGAUCAAUGUGUUUGGAUUGGAGUAGUGUCACUGUGUGUUAAUGUUUAGUUUUUUUAAUGAAUUGUUUGCAGAUGUUUUGUUUGCUGAAUCAUUGUAUGGUUUGAGGAGAAAGUCAAUUAGGUUGAGAUUACGCAAAGGUUCCAGUAAAGAAGUUCAACGUUUUGGUUUAGAGAAACGCCAAAGAGUCUCUCUGUUUUUUUUCUGGUUGUGUUACAGUAUUUUAUAUCAAAGUUGCAUGGUAUAUAUAACAAGGAAAGGGAAGCGAUGCUCUGGGAGAGUUUAUGGGGAUCAGAGGAUCAAGGGUUUGAUGAAGCUAACUUCUUUACAGGAGAGGAAACCGUUGUUUCAAGAGGGGAUAGUGGGAAUCAUGCGCUUUCUCUUCGAGUACAGUUAGCUACGAGAAUUAAGAAGUUUGUAGCUGUGUGCUAUCUUUGGAUAGAUGUAUCAAGUGAAGGUAGUUUCUGAUUUAUGUAGAGCACGAGUGUUUUGUAUAAUAGCUAUUAUGAUUCUUUCUAAUAGUUAGGUUGAGCUUCAUGCCUAGAGUUGGUAAUCUUGAUGUUCUAAAUUGAAACCACAUUCCGUGCUUUUAGUCCAUUUCUGGAUGGUUAUGAGUAAUAUACUCUAAGCAUGUGUUUGAUUUAUA
Molecule: RNA transcript, 1790 nt
Organism: Brassica oleracea var. oleracea
Lineage: Eukaryota; Viridiplantae; Streptophyta; Magnoliopsida; Brassicales; Brassicaceae
Exons: 3
Source: RefSeq, a predicted model, not a curated record